UCAACAUUCGGACCGUCGGUCUACCGAGCAAUAUUACCCGCUCGGUGGAAGAUCUUUCCUUUCAUCGU
RNAcentral lists this microRNA precursor (68 nucleotides) under Bombyx mori (domestic silkworm). Its description in RNAcentral is "mir-2774 microRNA precursor family". It matches the Rfam family "mir-2774 microRNA precursor family". Lineage: Eukaryota; Metazoa; Arthropoda; Insecta; Lepidoptera; Bombycidae. The record is from Rfam by way of RNAcentral.